Long non-coding RNA from Candoia aspera, 419 nucleotides. RefSeq lists it as uncharacterized. The record is from RefSeq and is a predicted model, not a curated record. The transcript is spliced from 2 exons. Lineage: Eukaryota; Metazoa; Chordata; Lepidosauria; Squamata; Candoiidae.
AUGCGUGCUUAUGGCUGAGGAUCAAGGCAAGAGAAGAUGGGGGUGCGGAGGUUUCCUAGAAGAGGGCUCCAACUUGCGUAUACGGACGCAUUUCAAGUGGCCUAGGAUGUAUUUGAUAAGAAAUAGCCAUAGAAAGCGCAGAACCCGAAAAGAGAUCUAAAACACGAGUCCCUUCCGGACUGCUGGACGCCACCCCCCGGCAAACCUGCUUUCAGAACUUACAAGAAACUAAGCAGCAGCCUUGUGCAGCAAGGAAUCACUCUGGAAAAAAGCAUGAAGAAACUAUAGAGCGGUGGAACUAAGCGCUAAAAGCAGAAGACAACAAAUACUUAACAGCUAAUUUUGUUGUGUCAAAAUCUGUCCUGCUUUCUUACCAGUUAUUUUGCAUAAACAAGAAAAUAUAGAUCCUCUUCCAUUAA